Molecule: long non-coding RNA, 239 nt
Organism: Periophthalmus magnuspinnatus
Lineage: Eukaryota; Metazoa; Chordata; Actinopteri; Gobiiformes; Gobiidae
Exons: 3
Source: RefSeq, a predicted model, not a curated record
CAUCUCAUGUUGAGCAGAAAGUGAGACGACAUGGACCUGACAGCUUCCUCCAUCUCUCUGAUGAUGAAUGUGCUGGUGCUGAUGUUGACUGUUCACUACGGCCUUUCACAAACAUCAGAGCGUACUUUCCCUCGUAUUGUCCCGUCGCAACUGCAGUUCUUGGAAUACUCCAGUCUCACUGUGACCUGUGAGGGAUUUUUCAACGACAUGACUAAUUGGAGGGUGCUGAGGAGAAAAGG